RNAcentral lists this long non-coding RNA (282 nucleotides) under Elaeis guineensis (African oil palm). Its description in RNAcentral is "long non-coding RNA (EGUI_LNC045918)". The record is from RNAcentral. Lineage: Eukaryota; Viridiplantae; Streptophyta; Magnoliopsida; Arecales; Arecaceae.
UCCUAGUUUGGUUGACUAGGAUGGCACAUGUUGAAAUCGCAUGUUGGAAAUGCGGUUUAUAUUUGAAAUCGCAUGUCCAACAUGCAAUUUCAUGCUGACGUGGCCAUCCAUGUCAGCUAAGAGCUGUUUGAAUUUAAAUCGAAAUCACAUGUCUGACAUGCGAUUUCAAACACGAAAUUGUAUGCCCCAUAUGUAAUUUACGUCCUCGAUUCUUCAAACCUUCUCGUGGUCCUCUGUGAUCUGCAUCACCCCACCCGAUAGGCACCUUUCGUGGUCCCCCCU